RNAcentral lists this ribosomal RNA (409 nucleotides) under uncultured fungus. Its description in RNAcentral is "partial small subunit ribosomal RNA". It matches the Rfam family "Eukaryotic small subunit ribosomal RNA", at positions 30 to 432 of the family's 1831-position model. Lineage: Eukaryota; Fungi. The record is from RNAcentral.
GCUUGUCUCAAAGAUUAAGCCAUGCAUGUCUAAGUAUAAACAACUCUAUACUGUGAAACUGCGAAUGGCUCAUUAUAUCAGUUAUAGUUUAUUUGAUAGUACCUUACUACUUGGAUAACCGUAGUAAUUCUAGAGCUAAUACAUGCAUACAACCCCAACUGCCUGUGCGGACGGGGCGUAUUUAUUAGAUCGAAACCAAACGGCUUCGGCCGUCUCAUUGGUGACUCUGAAUAACUUUGGGCUGAUCGUAUGGCCUUGUGCCGACGACGUUUCCUUCGAAGGUGUGCCCUAUCAACUGUCGACUGUGAUAUAGACGCUCACAGUGGUUUUGACGGGUAACGGGGAAUCAGGGUUCGAUUCCGGAGAGGGAGCCUUAAAAACGGCUACCACAUCCAAGGAAGGCAGCAGG